RNAcentral lists this non-coding RNA (582 nucleotides) under Drosophila willistoni. RNAcentral describes it as "Eukaryotic small subunit ribosomal RNA". It matches the Rfam family "Eukaryotic small subunit ribosomal RNA", at positions 1 to 576 of the family's 1831-position model. The record is from Rfam by way of RNAcentral. Lineage: Eukaryota; Metazoa; Arthropoda; Insecta; Diptera; Drosophilidae.
AUUCUGGUUGAUCCUGCCAGUAGUUAUAUGCUUGUCUCAAAGAUUAAGCCAUGCAUGUCUAAGUACACACGAAUUAAAAGUGAAACCGCAAAAGGCUCAUUAUAUCAGUUAUGGUUCCUUAGAUCGUUAACAGUUACUUGGAUAACUGUGGUAAUUCUAGAGCUAAUUCAUGCAAUUAAAACACGGACCUUCUGGGACGUGUGCCUUUAUUAGACUAAAACCAAGCGAUCAAUUGAUCGUUAUAAUGGUUGAACUGUAGAUAACAUGCAGAUCCUAUGGUCUUGUACCGACGACAGAUCUUUCAAAUGUCUGCCCUAUCAACUUUUGAUGGUAGUAUCUAGGACUACCAUGGUUGAAACGGGUAAAGGGGAAUCAGGGUUCGAUUCCGGAGAGGGAGCCUGAGAAACGGCUACCACAUCUAAGGAAGGCAGCAGGCGCGUAAAUUACCCACUCCCAGCUCGUGGAGGUAGUGACGAAAAAUAACAAUACAGGACUCAUAUCCGAGGCCCUGUAAUUGGAAUGAGUAAACUUUAAAUCCUUUAACAAGAACCAAUUGGAGGGUAACUCUGGUGCCAGCAGCCG